RNAcentral lists this ribosomal RNA (360 nucleotides) under Eleutherodactylus acmonis (El Yunque robber frog). RNAcentral's name for it is "partial 12S ribosomal RNA". It matches the Rfam family "Bacterial small subunit ribosomal RNA", at positions 871 to 1384 of the family's 1533-position model. The record is from RNAcentral. Lineage: Eukaryota; Metazoa; Chordata; Amphibia; Anura; Eleutherodactylidae.
GUCUGGGAAUUACGAGCAAAGCUUAAAACCCAAAGGACUUGACGGUACCCCAUAUCCCCCUAGAGGAGCCUGUCCAAUAAUCGAUGAUCCCCGUUUAACCUCACCACACCUAGCUUAUCAGCCUGUAUACUUCCGUCGCAAGCCUACCACAUGAGCGAAACUUAGUUAGCCCAAUGUCUACACAUAAAUGUGUUUACAUCGACAACACGUCAGGUCAAAGUGCAGCAAACGCUGUGGGAUGAGAUUGGCUACACUUUUUAACUUAAAAGAAACGGAAAACAAAAUGAAACUUUGUCAGAAGGUGGAUUUAGCAGUAAAAUGGAAAUAUUAAAUUCAUUUUAACUCGGCACUGGGGUGUGU